Molecule: ribosomal RNA, 451 nt
Filed under: uncultured bacterium
Lineage: Bacteria
Description: partial 16S ribosomal RNA
Rfam family: Bacterial small subunit ribosomal RNA
Source: RNAcentral
AAACCAGACUCCUACGGGAGGCAGCAGUGGGGGAUAUUGCACAAUGGGGGGAACCCUGAUGCAGCGACGCCGCGUGGGUGAAGGAGCGUUUCGGCGCGUAAAGCCCUAUCGGCAGGGAAGAAGGAGGACGGUACCUGACUAAGAAGCCCCGGCUAACUACGUGCCAGCAGCCGCGGUAAUACGUAGGGGGCAAGCGUUAUCCGGAUUUACUGGGUGUAAAGGGAGCGCAGGUGGCAAGGCAAGCCAGAAGUGAAAACCCGGGGCUUAACCCCGCGGAUUGCUUUUGGAACUGUCUGGCUGGAGUGCAGGAGGGGCAGGCGGAAUUCCUGGUGUAGCGGUGAAAUGCGUAGAUAUCAGGAGGAACACCGGUGGCGAAGGCGGCCUGCUGGACUGUAACUGACACUGAGGCUCGAAAGCGUGGGGAGCAAACAGGAUUAGAUACCCGGGUACC